Molecule: long non-coding RNA, 476 nt
Filed under: Homo sapiens (human)
Lineage: Eukaryota; Metazoa; Chordata; Mammalia; Primates; Hominidae
Description: HSALNT0349371
Source: RNAcentral
GUUAGAAUAGCGGUCAUUAAAAAGUCUGGAAACAACACAUGCUGGAGAGGAUGUGGAGAAAUAGGAACACUUUUUGUUUUGUUUUGUUUUGUUUUUAUUUAUACUGUUGGUGGGAGUGUAAAUUAGUUCAACCAUUGUGGCAGACAGUGUGGCGAUUCCUCAAGGAUCUAGAACCAGAAGACCAGAGUUUUAUUAUUACUCAAAUCAGUCUCCCCAAGCACUGGGUGAGCAGUGUUUCAGGACAACUUGGUGGGUGGGGGAGCCAGUGAGCCAGGAGUGCUGAUUGGUCAGGGAUGAAAUCAUGGAGAGUCGGAGCUGUCUCCUUGCGCUGAGUCAGUUCCUGGGUCGGGGGGGCCCCCAGAUCAGAUGAGCCAAUUAAUCGAUCUGGGUGGUGCCAGCUGAUCCAUCAAGUUCAGGCUCUGCAAAAUAUCACAAGCACUGAUCUUAGGAGCAGUUUAGGGAGGGUCGGAAUCUUG